Cucurbita maxima (winter squash) is the source of this 608-nucleotide long non-coding RNA. RefSeq lists it as uncharacterized. NCBI's taxonomy places the organism in Eukaryota, Viridiplantae, Streptophyta, Magnoliopsida, Cucurbitales, Cucurbitaceae. The transcript is spliced from 2 exons. The record is from RefSeq and is a predicted model, not a curated record.
UUUUAUUUCUCCAUUUUUCUAACAUGACUCAUUUCCACCUCCGCCUCCUCCUCGCCAUUCUUCUUCUCCUCCUCACUCCGACCACCGCCGCCACCAUCGCAUCCGCCGCAGUCCGGCCAAGGAUUUCGUUGAGAAAACAAGUGAUUUUCCGGCCAUCUUCGCCGUCGACAACCAAACCCAUAGACUUCGAAGAUCAGAAGCGAAGAGUCCCCACAGGUUCGAAUCCUCUACACAACAAACGGUGAUGAUUAUUUCACAAGCUUCUCAAAUUAAAAUAGUUGACGUUACGUGAGACCCUACAUCAAUUGGACGGAAGAACGAAGCAUCCAAGGGUGUGGAAAUCUUUCCCUAAUAGAUGCAUUUUAAAAUCGUGAAGCUGAUGGCGAUAUGUAAUGGGCCAAAACGAACUAUAUCUACGGAAAGGGAUAAUCUCGAGUUUAGAGUUGGAAUUUGGUGAGUGAAGUGGUGGAAGUGGUGGGAAUGGUCCACAACCAGGCUUUUCUCCCCUUCUUUUUGUGUUGAGGAUGUGUGUAUAUGCGCGCAUGUAAAACUCAACUCAUUUGAGCAAAUUAUUGUGUGGUUGAAUAGAAAUAUAUCAUCUUUUUGUA